AUGACAUUUAGGGGAAGAGGUCAAUUCAAGAGGGCUGUUGUGAAGUAUGGUCUAGCUAUGAAGAGGCACAUUUCCUUUGUAAAAGAUGAGGCUGGUAGGAUUAGGGAAAAAUGUUCUUGGCUAAAGUGUCCAUGGUUGAUAUAUGCUGCAAAGAGGAGCUCAAAUGAAUGGUUUCAGGUCAUUACACCUGUAGACAAACAUAUAUGCCCACAGAGGAGAGACAACAGGUUGGUAACUGCCCCUAGAAUUGCACAUAAAUAUGAGAGAAUCAUGAAGGCCAAUCCAGGCUGGAAAGUGAAAUCUAUUAAGGCCACUGUAAGGUUGGAGUUGUUUGUAGAUGUGCAUGUUUUCAAGAUAAAGAAAGCAAAAUCAAUAGUCAGAAACAGAGUGUAA
RNAcentral lists this ribosomal RNA (393 nucleotides) under Triticum aestivum (bread wheat). Its description in RNAcentral is "partial small subunit ribosomal RNA". Lineage: Eukaryota; Viridiplantae; Streptophyta; Magnoliopsida; Poales; Poaceae. The record is from RNAcentral.